Molecule: ribosomal RNA, 458 nt
Filed under: uncultured bacterium
Lineage: Bacteria
Description: partial 16S ribosomal RNA
Rfam family: Bacterial small subunit ribosomal RNA
Source: RNAcentral
CCUACGGGAGGCAGCAGUGAGGAAUAUUGGUCAAUGGGCGCGAGCCUGAACCAGCCAAGUAGCGUGAAGGAUGACUGCCCUAUGGGUUGUAAACCUCUUUUGUCGGGGAGCAAAAGCCGGACGUGUCCGGCUGUGAGAGUACCCGAAGAAAAAGCAUCGGCUAACUCCGUGCAAGCAGCCGCGGGAUUACGGAGGAUGCGAGCGUUAUCCGGAUUUAGUGGGUUUAAAGGGUGCGCAGGCGGAUUUUUAAGUCAGCGGUAAAAUCGUGGGGCUCAACACCGUCCAGACGUUGAAACUGGGGAUCUAGAGUGGGCGAGAGGUAUGCGGAAUGCGUGGUGUAGCGGUGAAAUGCAUAGAUAGCACGCAGAACCCCGAUUGCGAAGGCAGCAUACCGGUGCACAACUGACGCUCAGGCACGAAAGCGUGGGUAUCGAACAGGAUUAGAUACCCUUGUAGUC